GAUGAACGCUGGCGGCGUGCCUAAUACAUGCAAGUCGAGCGAACAGACGAGGAGCUUGCUCCUCUGACGUUAGCGGCGGACGGGUGAGUAACACGUGGAUAACCUACCUAUAAGACUGGGAUAACUUCGGGAAACCGGAGCUAAUACCGGAUAAUAUAUUGAACCGCAUGGUUCAAUAGUGAAAGACGGUUUUGCUGUCACUUAUAGAUGUAUCCGCGCCGCAUUAGCUAGUUGGUAAGGUAACGGCUUACCAAGGCAACGAUGCGUAGCCGACCUGAGAGAGUGAUCGGCCACACUGGAACUGAGACACGGUCCAGACUCCUACGGGAGGCAGCAGUAGGGAAUCUUCCGCAAUGGGCGAAAGCUUGACGGAGCAACGCCGCGUGAGUGAUGAAGGUCUUCGGAUCGUAAAACUCUGUUAUUAGGGAAGAACAAAUGUGUAAGUAACUAUGCACGUCUUGACGGUACCUAAUCAGAAAGCCACGGCUAACUACGUG
Molecule: ribosomal RNA, 497 nt
Filed under: uncultured bacterium
Lineage: Bacteria
Description: partial 16S ribosomal RNA
Rfam family: Bacterial small subunit ribosomal RNA
Source: RNAcentral